This 156-nucleotide ribosomal RNA is filed under the name Solanum lycopersicum (tomato). Its description in RNAcentral is "5.8S ribosomal RNA". It matches the Rfam family "5.8S ribosomal RNA". From Rfam's summary of the family: 5.8S ribosomal RNA (5.8S rRNA) is a component of the large subunit of the eukaryotic ribosome. It is transcribed by RNA polymerase I as part of the 45S precursor that also contains 18S and 28S rRNA. Lineage: Eukaryota; Viridiplantae; Streptophyta; Magnoliopsida; Solanales; Solanaceae. The record is from Rfam by way of RNAcentral.
GACUCUGGAAAACAAAUAUCUCGGCUCUCACAUCGAUGAAGAAGGUAGCGAAAUUUGAUGCUUUGUGUGAAUUGCAAAAUCCCGUGAACCAUCGAGUAUUUGAACGGAAGUUGCGGCCGAAGCCAUUUGGCCGAGGGCACGUCUGCCUAGGCGUCA